GACUCUCGGCAACGGAUAUCUCGGCUCUCGCAUCGAUGAAGAACGUAGCGAACUGCGAUACUUGGUGUGAAUUGCAGAAUCCCGUGAACCAUCGAGUCUUUGAACGCAAGUUGCGCCCGAAGCCAUUCGGUCGAGGGCACGUUUGCYUGGGUGUCACACAU
Molecule: ribosomal RNA, 161 nt
Filed under: Metrosideros kermadecensis
Lineage: Eukaryota; Viridiplantae; Streptophyta; Magnoliopsida; Myrtales; Myrtaceae
Description: 5.8S ribosomal RNA
Rfam family: 5.8S ribosomal RNA
About the family: 5.8S ribosomal RNA (5.8S rRNA) is a component of the large subunit of the eukaryotic ribosome. It is transcribed by RNA polymerase I as part of the 45S precursor that also contains 18S and 28S rRNA. Functionally, it is thought that 5.8S rRNA may be involved in ribosome translocation.
Source: RNAcentral